This 764-nucleotide ribosomal RNA is filed under the name Besnoitia darlingi. RNAcentral's name for it is "SSU rRNA". It matches the Rfam family "Eukaryotic small subunit ribosomal RNA", at positions 174 to 946 of the family's 1831-position model. Lineage: Eukaryota; Apicomplexa; Conoidasida; Eucoccidiorida; Sarcocystidae. The record is from RNAcentral.
UACCUCUUCCUCUGGAAGGGUAGUGUUUAUUAGAUACAGAACCAACCCACCUCCUGGUGGUCCUCAGGUGAUUCAUAGUAACCGAACGGAUCGCGUUAUGACUUCGGUCGGCGACGGAUCAUUCAAGUUUCUGACCUAUCAGCUUUCGACGGUACUGUAUUGGACUACCGUGGCAGUGACGGGUAACGGGGAAUUAGGGUUCGAUUCCGGAGAGGGAGCCUGAGAAACGGCUACCACAUCUAAGGAAGGCAGCAGGCGCGCAAAUUACCCAAUCCUGAUUCAGGGAGGUAGUGACAAGAAAUAACAACGCUGGAAAUUUCAUUUCUAGCGAUUGGAAUGAUGGGAAUCCAAACCCCUUUCAGAGUAACAAUUGGAGGGCAAGUCUGGUGCCAGCAGCCGCGGUAAUUCCAGCUCCAAUAGCGUAUAUUAAAGUUGUUGCAGUUAAAAAGCUCGUAGUUGGAUUUCUGCUGGAAGCAGCCAGUCCGCCCUUAGGGGUGCGCACUUGGUGAAUUCCAGCAUCCUCCUGGUAGCUCUCCACACUUCAUUGUGUGGAGAGUUCUUCCAGGACUUUUACUUUGAGAAAAUUAGAGUGUUUCAAGCAGGCCUGUCGCCUUGAAUACUGCAGCAUGGAAUAAUAAGAUAGGAUUUCGGCCCUAUUUUGUUGGUUUCUAGGACUGAAGUAAUGAUUAAUAGGGACGGUUGGGGGCAUUCGUAUUUAACUGUCAGAGGUGAAAUUCUUAGAUUUGUUAAAGACGAACUACUGC